This is a long non-coding RNA of Pseudophryne corroboree (corroboree frog), 2845 nucleotides long. RefSeq lists it as uncharacterized. The record is from RefSeq and is a predicted model, not a curated record. The transcript has 5 exons. NCBI's taxonomy places the organism in Eukaryota, Metazoa, Chordata, Amphibia, Anura, Myobatrachidae.
CUAUGAAAGCAGUUUCUGGACACCAGCUGGUCCUGAGUGUAUAAUGGCGCUGCAGAACCUUGGAGACAUAAGUCAGAGUUGGGUGCGAUUUACAGUCCAUGGAAAUACUCGGCGCUGUGAGCGCACAGAACGAGUGCCCGCCAGAACCUCGGGAGAGUAAUUAGAUGUUAUUUUUAAAUCGCUAGUCGUCACUGAGAGUCUCUGAGUGAAAAGUUCUUGCAUCAUCAUGAGAAGCAGAAGAAGAUGCCUCACAGACAGUUGCAGAACAACCACUCAGAAAUAAAGGCCAAAGCCUGAGCCUUUCCUUACCACUGCAUGUGGUGAAUGAUGCCCUGACUUAGACCCACUAUGCCCUUGAGCAACGGCUUUAGAAGAUGACAUUGCUGGACUAGCAUCAUCAUCAUGACUGGUAGCAGCAGCUGCUGCACUAGUAUUUGGUUGAUCUUCUCUAAACUGAUAGUUAUCCAUUUGUCAAGUUGCAGAUCACUGCGUGGACCACAGGGCUUAUAGAUGCAUGUGAACAAAAUGCACAUGAUUAGAGUGCACCAACCAACCAGUACAAAAACAAUAGAUAUAUUAACACACUUGGCUGAGACGCUGAGAUGCGCUGACACACUGACGGAAACAGGAAGCCAGAAACUGGAAGUAUCAGGAGCUGAGAGCAGGCCGGCCGUGGGCGGACGGAGCAACGUGCGGGGGACAGCAGGCUCCCACCGCAACAACUGCAGGGGACAGGACGGGGGUGCCGGGAGCCAGAGGCCCAAUAACUGCAGGGGACUGGGCAGCAGCAGGGAAGCCUGAGCCUGAAGGCCCCCACAAAUAAAUCCUAAUGCAGAUAGGAGCACUUACAAGCUGCAAUUUGGAGACUGAAUGGUUGUAAAGAAAGUGCUUCAGUAAAAGCUCUUGAACCCUGAUUCAGAAGACCAUACCAAGUUCUUCUGACCACACAGACCUCAGCAGAAGUGGCGAUACGGACACUGGGGUACAAGAAAGUCACAAAGGAAGUAUCAUCCAGUUAUCCUACUGUACCAUGUAUAGAUACGGUUUGAAAAGUCGAAACCCUUAUAGAGGUCUUUGGAGACGCAGAAUGUGUUUUGCCAUUAUGGUGGUGGUUACCGUGAUCCUCAUUUGGUCAUUAAUGACUUGGAAACAUGACCAUUGUCAGAACUGCACAUAUACAGAAACCACAAACACUCACAGCAUUGUUAAAAGGGAAUUGUCCAAACCCCGGUUAAACUCCUUGGUACAGUCACAUUACAAAGCAGCCCAGAGUUUGGGAUUAAAGAACUCAUGGGUUUGUACACAUUCACCAAUAGCAGUUACAUCCAUGAAUUGGGUUGGAGUUCCCCUUAAUAUGACUGAAUUAUUCAAUCUUGAUUUUGAAGAGGCAAAGAAGCCCAAUAAGGUGUUUGGCCAAAAGUCUGUGUCACUUAUGACCAUUGGUAUGGCACGAGACCCAGACUUUUGUCUUGAAUUACCCAAAAUCGGAGAAAAUGACACAGUUACAGGGAUGGGUAAUGUAAUUGAAGAGUUGAUAAGUUUAACAGCAGAACCUAUACAACUGGGACUAGUAAAUUGUGCCCAGUCCAAGGUAAACUUUACUCAAACCCAUGGCUAUAAUGUUUACAACUAUGAUAAUGGUAACAAAAAAACUACCCUAGUAAGUGGAAUGAAAAUCCAAGUUGCAGAAACUGCGCAGGAAUGGUGGAGAAAGGUAUAUAUAACUCAAAGAUGUAAACAUAGAGUCCAAGCAGGUUUAACCCCAAGCUUGCAAGUAGAAGAAAGUACAUUAAUAAGUUUACGGGCAGUAGUACAUAACAUUCCAUAUAUCUUACCAGAAAAUGUAUAUUAUUUAUGCGGAAGCGAGGCAUACAAGUGGCUCCCAUAUGGAGGAUAUGGUAGCUGUACCUUAGGUCAGCUAGUGCCCACAACCUUUUACAGAGAUUCUGUCUCACUUGAUGAUACACAAGUGCCACAACAGAGGACCAGAACAGCUAUCCCAAGAAACCUAACUGACAUACCAUGGAUAAACAGGUGUUGCAUUAAACAGCCAUUUUCAUUUCUGAUAGAUUUGGCAAAGAUGUUAGACAAUAUUACUAAAUUGUAUGAUGAAACUUUUGAAUUUGUUUUGCAAGAGGUAAAGAUGAUGAAACGUAGGUGGCAAUCCCAUAAAAUGGUUUUGGAUUAUCUGACGGCUAAGGAAGGUGGUAUGUGCAUGGUUGUAGAAGAAGCUUGCUGUAAUUACAUUAAUGAUACAUAUGACGUUGAGAAGGCUAUUGAGGACCACCUAUCCCAAGUUAAAGAGUUGAAGAACCAAUUUGAUGAAGCUCAUUAUGAAGAUGAAGAGUUCUCUGGGUGGUUUUCAUGGUUGAACCCAAUGAAUUGGUUUUCUGGAAGUUUAAAGCAGAUUGGAGAAUUGUUAUGUGGUAUUAUAUCGUUUAUUGUCAAAAGAUUAGCUAUAUUUCUAGUAGUAUAUAUUGUGAUAAGAAUUGUGAUCUGGAUUAUUAAGCUAAUACUUACACUGAAAUGUUAUUAUACUAAAGGUAAAAAGAUCAACGAUUCAAAGGCCAUUAUGUUUAUUGGAUCCUAUGAUAAUGGUGAAUCUUCCCAAACCGGCGACCAGGCGAUUUAUCCUCAGCGUAAACCAGCCAAAUGUAUCCUAUGUAAUGAUGAACUGACUCCUGAGGAAAGCAAAACGCGCAAAAAGUGCAAAGCGAUUGUCCUUUCCCUGAUUACCAAUCGUCUGGAAACCCUGAAUGCAAAAUUAUUGCAAAAGGACUCAGUAAAGAUAUAGCAGCAGGAAAUUUGUUAGCAGUUAGGCAAAACCAUGUGCACUGCAGGGGGG